RNAcentral lists this ribosomal RNA (2900 nucleotides) under Klebsiella pneumoniae UCI 62. Its description in RNAcentral is "bacterial LSU rRNA". It matches the Rfam family "Bacterial large subunit ribosomal RNA". The record is from RNAcentral. Lineage: Bacteria; Pseudomonadati; Pseudomonadota; Gammaproteobacteria; Enterobacterales; Enterobacteriaceae.
UUAAGCGACUAAGCGUACACGGUGGAUGCCCUGGCAGUCAGAGGCGAUGAAGGACGUGCUAAUCUGCGAAAAGCGUCGGUAAGGUGAUAUGAACCGUUAUAGCCGGCGAUGUCCGAAUGGGGAAACCCAGUGCAAUUCGUUGCACUAUCGUUAACUGAAUACAUAGGUUAACGAGGCGAACCGGGGGAACUGAAACAUCUAAGUACCCCGAGGAAAAGAAAUCAACCGAGAUUCCCCCAGUAGCGGCGAGCGAACGGGGAGCAGCCCAGAGUCUGAAUCAGCUUGUGUGUUAGUGGAACGGUCUGGAAAGUCCGACGGUACAGGGUGAUAGUCCCGUACACCAAAAUGCACAGGCUGUGAACUCGAAGAGUAGGGCGGGACACGUGGUAUCCUGUCUGAAUAUGGGGGGACCAUCCUCCAAGGCUAAAUACUCCUGACUGACCGAUAGUGAACCAGUACCGUGAGGGAAAGGCGAAAAGAACCCCGGCGAGGGGAGUGAAAAAGAACCUGAAACCGUGUACGUACAAGCAGUGGGAGCACCUUCGGGUGUGACUGCGUACCUUUUGUAUAAUGGGUCAGCGACUUAUAUUCUGUAGCAAGGUUAACCGUAUAGGGGAGCCGCAGGGAAACCGAGUCUUAACUGGGCGUUAAGUUGCAGGGUAUAGACCCGAAACCCGGUGAUCUAGCCAUGGGCAGGUUGAAGGUUGGGUAACACUAACUGGAGGACCGAACCGACUAAUGUUGAAAAAUUAGCGGAUGACUUGUGGCUGGGGGUGAAAGGCCAAUCAAACCGGGAGAUAGCUGGUUCUCCCCGAAAGCUAUUUAGGUAGCGCCUCGUGAACUCAUCUUCGGGGGUAGAGCACUGUUUCGGCUAGGGGGUCAUCCCGACUUACCAACCCGAUGCAAACUACGAAUACCGAAGAAUGUUAUCACGGGAGACACACGGCGGGUGCUAACGUCCGUCGUGAAGAGGGAAACAACCCAGACCGCCAGCUAAGGUCCCAAAGUCAUGGUUAAGUGGGAAACGAUGUGGGAAGGCACAGACAGCCAGGAUGUUGGCUUAGAAGCAGCCAUCAUUUAAAGAAAGCGUAAUAGCUCACUGGUCGAGUCGGCCUGCGCGGAAGAUGUAACGGGGCUAAACCAUGCACCGAAGCUGCGGCAGCGACACUAUGUGUUGUUGGGUAGGGGAGCGUUCUGUAAGCCUGCGAAGGUGACCUGUGAGGGUUGCUGGAGGUAUCAGAAGUGCGAAUGCUGACAUAAGUAACGAUAAAGCGGGUGAAAAGCCCGCUCGCCGGAAGACCAAGGGUUCCUGUCCAACGUUAAUCGGGGCAGGGUGAGUCGACCCCUAAGGCGAGGCCGAAAGGCGUAGUCGAUGGGAAACAGGUUAAUAUUCCUGUACUUGGUGUUACUGCGAAGGGGGGACGGAGAAGGCUAUGUUAGCCGGGCGACGGUUGUCCCGGUUUAAGCAUGUAGGCUGGUUGUCCAGGCAAAUCCGGAUAAUCAAGGCUGAGGUGUGAUGACGAGGCACUACGGUGCUGAAGUAACAAAUGCCCUGCUUCCAGGAAAAGCCUCUAAGCAUCAGGUAACAUCAAAUCGUACCCCAAACCGACACAGGUGGUCAGGUAGAGAAUACCAAGGCGCUUGAGAGAACUCGGGUGAAGGAACUAGGCAAAAUGGUGCCGUAACUUCGGGAGAAGGCACGCUGGUGUGUAGGUGAAGUCCCUGCGGAUGGAGCUGAGACCAGUCGAAGAUACCAGCUGGCUGCAACUGUUUAUUAAAAACACAGCACUGUGCAAACACGAAAGUGGACGUAUACGGUGUGACGCCUGCCCGGUGCCGGAAGGUUAAUUGAUGGGGUUAUCCGUAAGGAGAAGCUCUUGAUCGAAGCCCCGGUAAACGGCGGCCGUAACUAUAACGGUCCUAAGGUAGCGAAAUUCCUUGUCGGGUAAGUUCCGACCUGCACGAAUGGCGUAAUGAUGGCCAGGCUGUCUCCACCCGAGACUCAGUGAAAUUGAACUCGCUGUGAAGAUGCAGUGUACCCGCGGCAAGACGGAAAGACCCCGUGAACCUUUACUAUAGCUUGACACUGAACAUUGAGCCUUGAUGUGUAGGAUAGGUGGGAGGCUUUGAAGCGUGGACGCCAGUCUGCGUGGAGCCAACCUUGAAAUACCACCCUUUAAUGUUUGAUGUUCUAACGUUGGCCCCUUACCGGGGUUGCGGACAGUGUCUGGUGGGUAGUUUGACUGGGGCGGUCUCCUCCCAAAGCGUAACGGAGGAGCACGAAGGUUAGCUAAUCCUGGUCGGACAUCAGGAGGUUAGUGCAAUGGCAUAAGCUAGCUUGACUGCGAGCGUGACGGCGCGAGCAGGUGCGAAAGCAGGUCAUAGUGAUCCGGUGGUUCUGAAUGGAAGGGCCAUCGCUCAACGGAUAAAAGGUACUCCGGGGAUAACAGGCUGAUACCGCCCAAGAGUUCAUAUCGACGGCGGUGUUUGGCACCUCGAUGUCGGCUCAUCACAUCCUGGGGCUGAAGUAGGUCCCAAGGGUAUGGCUGUUCGCCAUUUAAAGUGGUACGCGAGCUGGGUUUAGAACGUCGUGAGACAGUUCGGUCCCUAUCUGCCGUGGGCGCUGGAGAAUUGAGGGGGGCUGCUCCUAGUACGAGAGGACCGGAGUGGACGCAUCACUGGUGUUCGGGUUGUCAUGCCAAUGGCACUGCCCGGUAGCUAAAUGCGGAAGAGAUAAGUGCUGAAAGCAUCUAAGCACGAAACUUGCCCCGAGAUGAGUUCUCCCUGAGACUAUAAGUCUCCUGAAGGAACGUUAAAGACGAUGACGUUGAUAGGCCGGGUGUGUAAGCGCAGCGAUGCGUUGAGCUAACCGGUACUAAUGAACCGUGAGGCUUAACCUU